Molecule: long non-coding RNA, 229 nt
Filed under: Elaeis guineensis (African oil palm)
Lineage: Eukaryota; Viridiplantae; Streptophyta; Magnoliopsida; Arecales; Arecaceae
Description: long non-coding RNA (EGUI_LNC031938)
Source: RNAcentral
UCUGAGUAGACUGCAUCACCGUCGGUGGAGGUGUAAGGACAAUUUGGACUGCUUGAAUAGUGUCCGUCAAACUCUGGACCUACUGGAAGAGCGGUUGAAUUGGUCUGCCGUGAUCAGUGCUGGCUAGGUUGGUAGAUGAGUCUCCAUCGUUAGUGGUUGUCGGCUUGGCUCCUCGCCUGACAAGAGACAGUGGUGUUAGAGAGACGAGAUGAAACGCACUUUGAUGGCA